GCACUGCUGAGGAGUCUCACAAUAAGACGAAAUGGUCAUCCUGUGC
Molecule: non-coding RNA, 46 nt
Organism: Schistosoma mansoni
Lineage: Eukaryota; Metazoa; Platyhelminthes; Trematoda; Strigeidida; Schistosomatidae
Source: Rfam